UCCCAGACUCCUACGGGAGGCAGCAGUGAGGAAUAUUGGUCAAUGGCCGGAAGGCUGAACCAGCCAUGCCGCGUGAAGGUCAGUGCCCUAUGGGCGUUAAACUUCUUUUGUGCGGGAGCAAUAAUGGUCACGUGUGGCCAGACGAGAGUACCGUACAAAUAAGCAUCGGCUAACUCCGUGCCAGCAGCCGCGGUAAUACGGAGGAUGCGAGCGUUAUCCGGAUUUAUUGGGUUUAAAGGGUGCGUAGGCGGGCUUUUAAGUCAGCGGUAAAAAUUCGGGGCUCAACCCCGUCCGGCCGUUGAAACUGGGGGCCUUGAGUGGGCGAGAAGAAGGCGGAAUGCGUGGUGUAGCGGUGAGAUGCAUAGAUAUCACGCAGAACUCCGAUUGCGAAGGCAGCGUACCGGCGCCGGACUGACGCUGAGGCACGAAAGCGUGGGUAUCGAACAGGAUUAGAUACCCUGGUA
This 464-nucleotide ribosomal RNA is filed under the name uncultured bacterium. RNAcentral's name for it is "bacterial SSU rRNA". It matches the Rfam family "Bacterial small subunit ribosomal RNA", at positions 329 to 792 of the family's 1533-position model. The record is from RNAcentral.